UUAUUUGAGAGUUUGAUCCUGGCUCAGGAUGAACGCUGGCGGCGUGCCUAACACAUGCAAGUUGAGCGAUUUACUUCGGUAAAGAGCGGCGGACGGGUGAGUAACGCGUGGGUAACCUACCCUGUACACACGGAUAACAUACCGAAAGGUAUGCUAAUACGGGAUAAUAUAUUUGAGAGGCAUCUCUUAAAUAUCAAAGGUGAGCCAGUACAGGAUGGACCCGCGUCUGAUUAGCUAGUUGGUAAGGUAACGGCUUACCAAGGCGACGAUCAGUAGCCGACCUG
RNAcentral lists this ribosomal RNA (284 nucleotides) under Clostridioides difficile. RNAcentral's name for it is "partial 16S ribosomal RNA". It matches the Rfam family "Bacterial small subunit ribosomal RNA", at positions 1 to 294 of the family's 1533-position model. The record is from RNAcentral. Lineage: Bacteria; Bacillati; Bacillota; Clostridia; Peptostreptococcales; Peptostreptococcaceae.